This is a long non-coding RNA of Etheostoma spectabile (orangethroat darter), 209 nucleotides long. RefSeq lists it as uncharacterized. Lineage: Eukaryota; Metazoa; Chordata; Actinopteri; Perciformes; Percidae. The transcript is spliced from 3 exons. The record is from RefSeq and is a predicted model, not a curated record.
UGCAUCAUGACCUAUUUUAGGAGAGACAAAAAAUACUUUGACAAGAAAAUUCAAUCUGAGAGGCUUGAAAUGUGGAUUUAGUCGAGAAAUUACUUAGAAGUGCAGCAGAACAUCUCGUAUAUCGGUAAAGACAAAGCCGUGAGGGAAGAUCGUCGUGUGAAUUUGGAUUAAAAUGGGAAAAGAAGUUUAGAUACUCAUCGUAAAGCUAA